UACGAAGGGUGCAAGCGUUACUCGGAAUUACUGGGCGUAAAGCGCACGCAGGUGGCUGAGUCAGUCGAUUGUGAAAGCCCUGGGCUUAACCUGGGAAUUGCAGUCGAUACUACUCAGCUAGAGUAUGGGAGAGGGCAGUGGAAUUCCCGGUGUAGCGGUGAAAUGCGUAGAUAUCGGGAGGAACAUCAGUGGCGAAGGCGGCUGCCUGGCCCAAUACUGACACUCAGGUGCGACAGCGUGGGGAGCAAACAGG
RNAcentral lists this ribosomal RNA (253 nucleotides) under uncultured bacterium. RNAcentral describes it as "partial 16S ribosomal RNA". It matches the Rfam family "Bacterial small subunit ribosomal RNA", at positions 524 to 776 of the family's 1533-position model. The record is from RNAcentral.